UAAUAGCCCAGAUAGAAAUAAAAAUCCUUGAUUGCCGGUGUUCGGCAUGCAAGAUUGCAAAGGAUAGCUGGAAUAGCU
This 78-nucleotide small RNA is filed under the name Flavobacterium weaverense. Its description in RNAcentral is "Flavo-1 RNA". It matches the Rfam family "Flavo-1 RNA". The record is from RNAcentral. Lineage: Bacteria; Pseudomonadati; Bacteroidota; Flavobacteriia; Flavobacteriales; Flavobacteriaceae.